This 10406-nucleotide long non-coding RNA is filed under the name Gallus gallus (chicken). Lineage: Eukaryota; Metazoa; Chordata; Aves; Galliformes; Phasianidae. The record is from RNAcentral.
GGGGCUGUCCCGAAAGGUGAACGCGGGUUUGAGAAGGCGGUGUUCGCUGCCUGGUGCUAGCUAGCUUCCUUAUCUCUCCCCGUAGCGAGCUCAGCGCUGGCUGUCCUCGUUUACACCCGUACUGCAAACAAACAGAAGCCUCGCCUGCCGCGGAGCGCAGCGCGCGGCGCUGACCGCCAGAGGGCGGCGGUGCUCUGUGCGGCGGGGAGCCGCCCCGCCCCGCCCCGCCCUGCCGCCCCUCCGGCUCCGCCACGCGCGGCCUUUCGCUCUGUUAUAAAAGCUUUAAACUCAACGGACAUGCACGCAAAAGGUACAGAACGUUUCGUUGCUGUGCAGCCCCUGUUUGCAGACACGCACGCCGUGAGAGCAGGACGUGAGGUGCUUUUUACACCUCAACCAGUCUGAGUUAGACAAAGAUACCACUGUGGCUAAACCGGUUCCCGUACUUCAACCUGUACUUAUAAAGACUGUUAAGGAUGAGGUAGCACCUCGCCAGGGCAUAACCUGUGUAUCAGGAACGUAAUCAGCAGUGCAAAUGAUGGCCUGCCUUUGCUGCCUCCCAGCUGUAUGUCUGAUAGAGAAUGAGAAACCUACUGGUUUCAAGAAGGACUGGAGCUGUGCUACUUGAGAGUGGUGUUCUACUUCAUUUUCGAGCAAAAGUAAGUAAAAAUAGGAAAGUGAGUGAAAAUAAUGGAGUUAAUGGAAGUAAUUUGAAUGAGGUGACCUUUAACCAGGGAGUUCAUGGAUGGUGUUACUGUUAGCUGAGGCUGCAGCAGGAGGCUGGAUGUUGUAGGGUUAGCAGUGCCACAGUCAGUGAGCCAGGAAUUCAGGGAGUGCAAGUGGAGUAGCCAGAAGGAUAGGCAGGUUGUAAUUCCUCCCUGGGGAGAAAUUUGCUGGCAGUGUGUUCAGCAGGUUUGGAAAGAGAAAACAAAUUGCUGACUGUAGGAGGACUUCAGAGCUGAGCAGAUGUUUGGGGGUUUUGUUUUUGUUGGGUUGUUGGGGUUUUUUGUUUGUUUGCUUGUUUCUUUUCUAGGCAAAUAUAACUUACCCAUCGGGAUGUAGGUGCUCUUGCUCCCAAGGACUCCAAGGGCAGCUCAGCUGCGUUCUGUAUGCCACCUCUGUGUGCCUAAUCAAUGAUUAAUUUGUACCUCUCAGUUACCUGCCUCAGAGCUCUGCGUGUAUUUCACCACGACCAGGUAAUAUAUGGUGCAAGUACUUCAUCAUGUCCUGUGUCACUGCAUCUUGGCUUUCAGUAAACCGAAUCUUUUCCUUCAUUGGUCUUAGAGCUAGCAUUUAAUUUCUGUGUGUGGAUAAUGUGGGUAGUAAUCCUUACAGGCAGUGCAUCCUUACAGUAAACAAAGGUAAGGAAAAAUGAGUGUGAAGGCUGAAGAAUAGAGUGGGGGAAUCUCCAGUUCAUCCCAGCAAACUGGUUAUUUCUGUACUGGCAAGCAAUCCACACAUUGUUUGUCAUUUUCCCCCCCCCCCUUUCUUUCCUCCUCAGUUCAGCCCUUGCUGACAACACUGUAAAACACAUAACACACACGUAACAGGCUUAGAUAUCUACUUGCUCCUAUGCUGACAGCAAGCACUAAAGGCUCCAGUCUGCAGUGGACAGUCUGCCAUCGGCUUCAGUGAGAGCAGAAGUUGGCUUAAAAUAGGUGGAACACUAAUCUGUCUCUCUGCUCUCUAAAAAUGAACCAGCCCAAGGAAGGACUGAAACACAGGAAGCACAUAUGUAAUAUGGAGAAGCAAUUUUUGCUUUUGUUUGUAAUGCGAGUAAUCCCAUAGGGAGAGACUCUAUUCCCCCAGGCUUUUAGAUAGAGCCUUGUCAGGUAAUGCAUCCACAGUCUCUGAAGUCAUAGAUUUGGGAGGAGUGCACAGCUAAUGGCAUUCAGAACUGAAUUUCUCCCAUAACAGAAAUGCGGGGAAGCUCUUUCUCCUUUUACCAGUUAGCCUGUAUUUUACUAGUGGGGAAGUAGAAGCGGUUGGAAAAAGAUGAAAGCAAAGGCAUGAUGAAACUGCGGGAGUGAAGCAGUUUUUCCAUUUUCCUCUGGCCUCAGAGGGCACAGGGGAGGUGCGGGGGUGGCUGCUGCCGCAGCAGGCGCUCUGCGUGGGCGCAGCUGGGAGAGCCUUCCAGCAAGGUCAGUCCAUCCAUCCAUCUAUCCAUCCACAGUGGGUUCCUGCACUCCCACCACCCUGGCUUAGACGUGCUGCAUCCGCCCACCGGUACCCUCUGGGUUAGACAGGACCUUGGGCAAACACCCUCCUACGUCUUUCUUCCCUGCUGCCGCAAGCAAUCUGUCACUCCUCCCCUCAAACCACCCACCACCCACGCACAAAACCAUAACUGCAAGGAACACCCUCUCUCCUUCCCCCUUCGCUCCCCACCGGUCUGUUUUUCUCAGCAGAUGAAAAAUUCCUGGAGAUCUGGUGGUCGCCCCCGUGUUUGGCUUUUGAGACCCAAGGGGUUGGGUACCUUUUAGGCUCACAGCACGGCAAGCUCUGUUUGCAGAUGCAUUGCCAUAGUUUUGCAUUUGCUUGUAAUUACACAUGUGCAGGUGGGAAGGGGCUGUUUGCCUCCCACUGCCACGAUGUGCCUUCCUUCCUUCCACUCCCGCUCCCAGCCUCCCACGCAUCCAGCGAUGAGAAACGCUGCAGAAGACUGACCAGCCACCAGCCCGCCCACCCGAGGAGGAGGAGCAGCAGCAGCAGUACAUUUCUCUCUCUGCUUUUUAAACACAGUUAAAAAGAGCUGCAGCGUGGGUGGAAAUAGCUGUAGGGAGAGCAUGUGGGAAUGGGGCCAGGGGAAAGUGAAUUUUCUGUUGGUAGGACAGUUACUUCUAGUAGACUAGAAAAAAAAUACUUAAGGAUAACUUGCUGCCGAGUGUGUCUUUAGGCAUACAAUUAGUUCUUAGGGUUGAGUUUCCCUGGACUGGAAAGAAUGAAAUGGUAUUUAUUUUUCCCUGGUAGUCAAAGUGGCAGCCAGCGCUCCGCACUCAGAGAAGCUUGCCUAUAAGCCUCCAGGAGGCUGCAUAGCAAGGGAUAGUUGUGCUACAUCCUGUUGUGUCAUCCUGUCUCCUGUUCUGCUCCUGCUGUAUGUGCCUGAUUCGGUAAGAGUCAGAGCUGCUGCUCUGUAGGAAGAGGGGGAAAAAAAAGCAUCUGGUUUUCACAGUGUGGAGCUGUAUUUCAUAAUACCACCCCUGCUGGACCUCUUGAAAUAGCAGUAUCCCAGAAUAUCAAUUAGUUCACUAUUUACUCUAAAUCUGUGCUCUGAUAAAUAAACCUGAAUUUAUUUUCUUAUGUUAACAGGAUGUUGUUUGAGAUACUUUGCUUGCAUUACAUGAAAAUAGCAGUGCAAGUAGUGUAGGAAAACACAAAUCAUAAGACUGGUGGCAUAGAGUGCAAAGCGGUACCACUGUUUCUUAGGAAAUAUCUCUGAUAGACUCAGAGAACUGAGGGUAUGCAAUGGCUUUCAGGUUCUGACCGAGUCUAGCCCACCUAUCUAGAAAGAAAGGUUUUCCACUGUGUAAUCCUAAUCAAAUUGUCCUAACUUGGGCUACCUGUAUGUGUUCUUUGCAAUCCAGAACUCUGUCCGUGUGUUUCUCAAGAUUCAGUCAGGCUUUCCAUUUGCAUUACUGAUGCCAAUUGUUAUAUCAGGAUGUGGUCUGUAGGUAUUCGAGGAGGUGCAGUAACAGCCAACUAAUGCAUUUUGGUAAACUGGAUUUUCGAAGUACAGGAGAUGCUGCAAAAAUCUGGAAUGGGGCAUGUAAUUUGCUCCUAGUAAGUAGAGGCCUUGAGCCCCAUAUUUGAGUGGUUUCUGCUUGAUGCAGUCACUUUCUCUGUGAAAAUCCAGGGUGUGCUAGAGUGCAAAGCCUUUUCAAAGGCACCCUACCUCCUAGACAAGACAGCAGCCUUCCAGAGCCAUUUCUAAGGCAAGGGCUGCACGGCUGUAAUGCGUAAGGGAACUGGGCUCUCUGACUUCAGUGCACCCCCCCCCCCCCCGGCCCCAGCCCACCAUUUUCUGUAGCUCUGGAGAUUUUUACUCUGGCUUAGGAAUGGAAAGCGUAGGCAUAAUGCCUUCCGCUGGUGAGCUCAGAAACAAACCAAGUUAUGAUUAAGCCUAACGCAGAUCUGCGUGUGCCACAACAGAAAGAUCAGCUUUGGGAUUUAGGUUAGUGAGAUGAGAUGUGGGUCAACAGAGAUGUAACCUCAGUGGAACCAACUACCCCAAUCUUUUAAAAGCCUUAUUUCCACGAGACUUCAGUGGUUAAUAUUUUAAAUAUAUCCUUAUAUCUUUCCACUGAAUCUUAUGUAACUUGUAAUUAUAAUCUACUGGAAUUACAUACCCACAGUGAGGAGGAAAUAUAUUCCAACUAGUAAGUUCAUGUCACUUGGCUGAUUUACUUUAAAACAUUGCAUUAAUUCCUUUGUCAGUAGCAUUUGGAAGCAGUAUUGGCGUGCUUGUAAUACUAUCCUGCAUUUAGCAUUGGUUCAGUUAACUUUAAAGGUAGUGCUUUUCAUUCCUUUUGUAUCAAUGAAUGUACAUCAGAUUUUAAAUGCAGAUUAUACGCUUAUCUUGCCAGCUGCUGUUAGCCUGGAAUUUUCCUCAGGUAUCUAUUGUGGUGGAAUGAUAUUAUUUAAGAAGUUUAAAAAAAAAAAAAAAAAGUCAUUCAGAAUAAUUUCAAGUCUAUGUUAGGAGCUCAGUUGUGUACAUAGCGCUGCUUUUGGCUUUCUGCUGUACCCUGGAACUGCCAUGCACUUUGGUCUUGCAGCAUCUGGUACCAAACUUUGCCUUUUCAGGGGUCAUAGGGAACCAGUCAUUACCUAAGCAUAAGAGUAUUUGACGUUAAUUAGCAGUGUUUUGACAGUCCAGAAUGGGUACAGAGAGCACUUCAGGUGUCUGUGUUAAGAGUCGGUUGCUGCUCUAAGUCCAGGUAAGCUUCCUCAGCAGGGCAGUUUGGUUGAGAAUGACAGCAUCUUAUUAGAUAGCUAUGCGUGUAUUUAAACCUUGGCACGUUACUCACCUGGCAUAGGUAUUAAUUUUCACUUGAAAAGUUCUACUUUUGGCUUAGAAAAUGUAUUAUUAAGAAGAAAUGCUCAAACUUCUUUCCAUUUUCUUUGAUUCUGAAGCGCAGCUAAUGCUGUCCAUAAACUAAUGGCUCUGAAGAACAUUGCCCAGGGGAAGGUAUCUCACUUAAUGCCACAGAUGAUGCAAAGAACAGGGCAGAUCAGAUCAGAGAAAUUAAAAAUCAGGAGGAAAAUAGGUCAGGAGAAUAAAGAGAGGUCCUUAAGCUAUUUAAAAGUAAGCAUUUAUCAUUCGUUACUGCAGAUAUAUUCUGCUCUGAAGCGUAAAUUACCAGGCUCCAUUACGGUGUAACUGUGGGCAAAUGCUACCUUCAGUGCAACUGAGUUUAGCAGAUUCCUGUAAGUAGGUGUAAUUAUUAACCUCAUUGAAGGAGUAUGUAGCUAGUCAGAAGGGAAUGUGUUUGUUCGUUUGUUUCAAAUAAACGUUGUCAUUCUGGGUCAUCAGCUUCUUGCAGUGGAAGUGAUAGCGGGAGUGCUUGGCUCUCGCAGCCCCCUGCACUGAGUGCUCUUCUCCAGGGGAGUGCAGCUUGGUGAAGAAAGCAGUGGCAGCCCUGGCAGGGCACAGCAUGGAUCUGAAUUGUUCACAAGCUGUUAUGCAGUCAUUAGUUUCUCUUAGUCAUCUCAGUCUUCUUUCUGCCCCUUGGUUUUCACGAUGCCACGGCUUCUGUCUAGACCUUCCUUCUCUCUUCACUUGCUCCGUCUGUGACAGCAGCCAGCCUGGAAUGGAGUUUCAUGCUGCUCAGAGCAGUAGGUAGGAAUCUAUAAUUAUUUCAGAAAUAACAUGUUACACAGUGUGAUUUAGUCAUACUUUGACACACCUCUGUCUGCCAAGAAAUAGGCAGGCACUACCUUAUAAAGCUGUUGCUGAGAGCAAUCCUUCAGGCUCAGGGAGCACAAAGCUGCUUCAUUGUAUGGAUAGCUGCAGGAGUCAGCAGCAGGGUUUGGGGCUGGGGCCUGCAGAGACCUUAAAGCACGCAAAUCUGUUGCCUGAAUUAGAGGUUGUGCUCCUGCCUAGGGGAUGUAUCCCCAUGCAGAAAUAGCUCAGGACAUAAGCUGGUAAAUUUAAGACUGUUUGGAAAGUGAUUUUAUUUCCAUUUCCAGCCUUUAAAAAGCAUCCUUGUCGCUCUUGUGAGCCUUUUGGAACAUUCACCAUCAACCAGUUCUUUCCUAGUAUGAGACAGCUGCAUUUUGAAGGUAAGACUGUCUACAGUCUUAAUUACAAUAGCAACAUACAAUUUUCAGGGUACAAACGGCUGUAUAAACACGUCCCUACUCAGCCACACUAUCCCUUCCUCAGGCAUAUUUCUCAUCUGAGAAUCUCCUAUACUUAUUUAUUCCUCUUAUCAUACAGAAGACUAAAAAGCCCGGUGUCCUUUAAGGUCCCCCAGUAUGCAGUGUCAGGAGGUCUGUGGCGUAUUUGCACAGGCAGUCAGCUUUAUUUCACAGUAACACAUUUAAUUUUGUUAGUUACUUAGUUACUUGUAAUAGGCAGUCAUAACACUCGUAGGUAGCAUCGUGACUCACUGUAAAAUGACUGCAACAAAGCGCUGUCAUUUUGUCGCUGCAUUAUAGCAGACAGAACCAGAUCUCUCAGGAGUGUGCUGAGUUAUUUCUCGAAGGCCAAGGGACACGUCCUCCCUGGGAGAGGUCACCUUGUCCUCAGUGCCUGGAAGCUUUUUGUCAAAGAUUCUGGUUACCUGGUGCUGUGUAACCUUCCCCGUUCUGUUUGCAGAUCGGCAGUAUAAUUCUUCACCCCUAUUGCAAAUACAGGAUGGGAGAGGUGUCUCAUGGGAAAAAUAAUAAGAAAUACAAAAUCAUAGCUCUGCCAUGUUUUGAAAGUGCUUUAGGUUGGUGAGUGGAUAAAUGAAAGCUCAACUCUGUGGAGAUGUAAGUGUAAUUUAAUCCACUUUCAGUCUCUGUCCUUGAGUUAGUGUUCAGCCUUCUGAGAGCCGUUUCUUCCUUUUGAGCCCUUUGUGUAUGAGCCGUGUGUGUUUGUUCAGCCACUGCUGUUGCAUGACCACCUCCACCCAGCCCUGAGUCCAAAGGUUCACCAGUUUCCUUUAGCUCAUAAAUCUGAAGGUGGGUGAGAUAAGGCAGGCUCUGCAAACUGCGCUCUGUUUUAAUGAUAUGGUUAUUGCUUAAGAUCCAGUGCUCUGCAAGUCAAAGAUACAAAAUGCAUUGCAAUUUAAAGUUCAAUUAUUCUGUUAUUACUGUUUGAAACUGUAGUUGGCACUCGUAUUAUUAAUUUAGAAAGUAAGGGAUGUAAGAGGUAGGCAGGCAGUCAUUAUAUCAUGUACGUUUAUGUCCACACACAUUCUCACUUUCACCAAAGGAAAUUAGGGCUACCGAAGGCACAAGUAACUUUGGACUGAUGCUCUCCUGCCUUAGAUAGAGCUGAUGCACAGAAGGGGAAGCCAGAAUGAGCCAGCAGCAGCCGUCUUCUUCCAUCGCUCUGCAUUAGUGGACCUACACUUGUAAGAAACACUGCUGUUGUAAGUCAGAAUGGCUUCAGAAACAUGCCUUCCUAACACAGUGCCUCUAUAAACUCUUGUUUAAGGCAAAGCACAAGAGUUAGUAGCAUUUCUCACAUUUUGGUGUAAUGAAUUCAGUCCAUGAAACCAUGGAAUGACAAAGGCAAUCUGCAAAAACAGGCAGCGUUUACCUGAAAUAUUUAAUUUUAAGAAUACACCAUGAUUCAAAAAACUGAAGGGAGUAUAAACUGGGGCACAAAAUGUUCAAGAACUAUUAAAUCACUGUCAUUCUAAUCUCUUUUAAUUGUUCACCAGAUAAUAGCUGUUGGAAACAGAAAGACAAAAACCAAGCAUGCUGAGUCAGAUGCGGGUCACUGUCUCCUGAAAUGCAGCUGUCAGGAGCUGGGUAAGAGCAGAGUAAUGUGUCUUCUGCUUUCAACUUGGCAUCAGUGAAGUUGAUAUGCUGUUUAGCAGCCUCCUGAUGAUUUCCCUUCCGUGCUCUUGUCCAGCCUGUCCCAGACCAUUUAGGAACUCCUAGCAGCAGUAAGCAGUCCCACAGCUCUAAUGCCUGUAGGAAGAAUGUGCCUGCUGUUUUUUUUUCUGAAGACAUGCCUCCUACUAGCUUCAUUUAAUGUUUCCUAAUCCAUGAAUGGGAAGAAAGAUAAACUGCUUUCUCCAACUCGUGGCUUUAUAAACCUGCCAUUUCCCUGCUAUGCUGUGCUGUUCUGUCUGGCAACUGCUCUUCCGGGCAGAGGAGUCAUUCCAGACACUUGAGCAUCCUUCUCUAAUUCUUUAUAUGCUUUUGGAAAUGAGGAGUCUAUACUAUUGGUCCUUUUUCUCCUAGAAUCCACAUGGGUUCCAUGUCUUGAUCUCUCUAUGUAGGAAAAGAAAUAUCUAUACACUAUGCUAAAAUAGAAUUUCAUCUUACUUUGAAGUUCUUACUUUUGCAUUUUUUUUAAUUCUUCCUAAGUUCCUUGUCACCAUUUUUGGGCCUUCUGGUACUGAACAGUUAACAGCACACUGCAGCAACAUAACAAAUCUGUAGGGAGGUAGUUUGUAUAUUCCCAAAGUGGCUGCAAUUGUCCCACUGUGCAGGCAGCAAACCUGUUCUCAACUGUUAAUAGAAGUGGGGAAGAAAAGGGAGAAAGGGUUUAGUCGGUGAUUGUAACAGGCAUAGCUACUUAAAAUUCACACCUCGUGCUGAUUUAGGAAGUUGUAAGAUGCGGUAUGAGGGGAAAAAAAGGUGAGACGUUAAGACUGUUACAUAGAUAGUGUUUUUCAGCUUUUGUCACCCCCCCUGUAUUUUCUUCCCCCACCAAACCAUUUUGGAGGCAUAUCUUUGCAAUGACACAUCAAUGUUCUGUCUGCUUUGGGUUUAGAAAUAGUUGGGAUGUUAUAAAUAGAUCACAGUCUGAGAGAGACAAAGAGAAUGGAAGUAUUGUAAGAGGUUGGCUGAAAAUUUUCGGUGUGGAUUGUGAUUUCAGAUGCCUCUGAGAGUGGAAGCGUUGAGUCUGAAAUGCUCUAUUGAGCGCAGCAGAGGAACCUGGCCUGAUGUGCAGCAGUGGGGAGAGGCCAGGUGCAGUAAGGCAGCAUUUCUGCCUGUGGAGCUGAGCCCAGAGUGACAGCCAGCCUUGCCUCUGGGAGCUCACGGCUCAGAGAUGUGAGGAGGAAGCACUUUGCCCUUCCUCACUGUAGGAGGAAACGCUGGAGUCAAUUGCUCUGUUACACACAGCAGAGUCACUAAAUCAGAAUGUACAGCUUUUGCCCUGUAACUGUUCUGGCACCACUCAUGCUGGUAGCGUUGAUCAAGCUUGCUCCCGUUUUCCACUUCUCCCCCAGAAGGCCUUAACAUCACCAGGGCACCUUGGCCCGGGGUGAAAACUUGUCCCAUCCAGUGAGGUAGUAAAAAAGAAUAAUCAAGAGUGGGAAACAGUCUGAUAUUCUUUUGUUUCUGCUUGAGUACUCCUUGAGGAAGAUCCUUUAGAUCCUGCUGAUACUUCCAAGCUGACCGUGAGUACACAGAGCUGAGGUCCAGCUGCUUAUCCCUUGGCCGUUUCCACCAGAGAAACUAUGAGAAAGGUGAUUUGGUGACAGUUCUAAAGUAAGUCAUUCAGUGGAAGGGACUAACCUUCCCAGUGGCACCUUAAUGUUGUAAAGACAAGUUGCUUCCUGAAAGCAGGCUGGGUUUCACAGGAGCAGUGUCAUGUUGGCACAAGCUUUGUGUUCUCAGCCUCUGCCAAACGCAAUGGUGUAUCACCUGGUCUGUGUCCUUGAAGUGUGCCUCCAACUGCUGCUGGUUUUUGUAGAAGUUUAGGCCGAUACACAGUCUGCAGAAUCAGGUUCUUUAAACCUAAAUUAACAUUCUGUUGAAGACUAAACAUAUGUUGUUUUUCUUCACUGUCAACAAUUUAGUUUCCAGGUUUGGAAAAGAAACAUUGCUGGGGAGGAAUCCAAUGAAUUUAUUAAUGAGCUGGUGAAAAGCUGCUGAAGGACAGCUGGAUAUUUGGUGCCAACUGGAAAUUCCUGAUUUCAGAGAACAGCCCUGGUUCAGGAAAGAAACCAGCCAAGAAGCUCUACUAUAAAUUAAAAUGUGAGCUCCUAGAAACCAUUUCCUGAUGGGACUCAGGUACUUUACCUUUGCCAUUCCUGUAAAACAUCAGCUGCAUACAUCAGACUGAUGGCGUCAGGUGGUUUUCCAUAAAAAUCCUGUCUGUGCUGUGCUUCAUUUGCUUUAUUUUUGCUCUAACCCAAGAAACAAGUCAGCAGCUUCAAGAGUCAGCUGACACUGAGUCCUUUCCCAGCAAAGCCUACUGUUAACCAUGUGCAGCUCCAGCCAUAUUUGUAGGUAAU